This is a non-coding RNA of Chrysemys picta bellii (western painted turtle), 1822 nucleotides long. NCBI's taxonomy places the organism in Eukaryota, Metazoa, Chordata, Testudines, Emydidae. The record is from RefSeq and is a predicted model, not a curated record.
AAAAAUUAUUUGUCUUAAUAUUUUGCCUACUUUAGGCUUGAUAAAAUGUAAACAUUGAUAGUCCUAGCUACAACCAUUGAUGGCAGAUGCUGCUUUACAGGCUCAUUUGUUAAUUCAGUUUUGGAGAAGUUUCCCUCUUUUUCUGGAAGGCUUGUUUAUAGAUAUACUUUUAUUCCUGCAUUUCAGCACAUUGACAGUAAUAGGCAAUACUUCAUUUGCAGCUAUUGCAUUUCUUCCAGAAAUUCCUCUUCCUCUUAUCCAGUUUACCAUGUAAAAUUCUAUACCUUAAUUUUGAGAAGAUAUGUUUGCUAAGUAUCAAUCCACAAUGGUGUUUCCAUCUCUAUUAUGCAAAGAAAAAGUCUCAAACCUGUUUGAAUACUUGUCCCAUUUAUUUCUCAGUAAGUAGCUGCUGUGGAAUGCUGUGAGACUCUGCAGAUGUUCUUGAUAAAGGUCUACUUGUGGAGAUCCCCAUCUUUGGAAGAUGAACCUGGUGACUUCUGGGUGAAGGGAUCACUCGUGGCCCAGUGUUUGGAAGGUGGCUUGGACCAGGCUGAUGCUAUUCUUUACUUGGGCCUUUGGGCAACCCUUGAUCAGCCAGUCAUCGAGGUACAGGGAGACUUGAACACCUUGUCUUCUGGUUCCCUUCAUCUGAACACAUGGAAGCUCCAUAGCUGAACCCGGAAAAGCAAGCCUGUUCGGAACACGUUGGACGGGUCUUGCUGGGUAGUAGGAGGCCAUCCACUAUGGUUACCUACCUCGCCAAGUGGAAGCGUUUCUCAAUAUGGUUGUCCUAAUGAGGCCUUUCUCCAACUCAGUCUUCCCUUCAGUCUACUCUGGACUGUUUGCUCCACCUAAAACAAGUCUGGCCUCACAUCUAUCAAGGUGCACCUGGCAACAAUUUCGGCCUUCCAUCCACCAGUGGGUGGUAGGUCAUUUUUCUCUCACGAGAUUACAUUCUGCUUUCUUAAGGGGUUAGAGAGACUUUACCAUCAGGUGUGUGAACUGAUUCCCUUGUGAGGUGUGAAUUGAUUCCCUCGUGAGAUUUGAACUUGGUCCUAUUGAAACUCAUGGGCCCUCCCUUUGAGCCAGUAGCAUUGUGUCCUCUUCUGUUUCUCUCCUGAAAGGUUGCCUUCCUGAUAGCAAUUACCUCAGCCAGAAGAGACUCUGAAAUCAGGGCCCUUACGUCAGAACCACUGUAUACAGUAUUUGUCAAGGACAAGGUUCAGCUGAGUCCUCAUCCGGCCUUUCUGCCAAAGGUGGGCUUGCAGUUCCAUACCAACCAUGUCAUUUUCCUGCCAGUCUUCUUCCCGAAGCUGCACAAAAAUUCAGAAGAGCAGCAGCUUCGCUCGUUGGAUGUUAGACAUGUCCUCUCUUCUGUAUCAAGAUGACUUUGUGGCAAUAGCAGAGAGGAUGAAAGGCCUACCAGUUUCAGCCCAGAUAAUCUCAUUCUGCAUAACCUCUUGUAUUUGGGCAUGCUACGAGGAGGUGAAUGUUCCACUGCCUGCCAUCUUGACUGCUCAUUACAUGAGAGCUCAGGCUUCUUCAGCAGCAUUUCUGGCCCGGGUUCCGAUCCAAGACAUCUGCAGGGCCACAACCUGGUCAUCAGUGCAUACCUUCUCAUCCCACUACGCCAUCACCCAACAGGCUCAUGAUGAUGCCACAUUUGGGAGAGCAAUGUUGCAAUACGCAUGUCCAUGAACUCUGAGCCCACAUCCUUUGGAUACUGUUUGUGAGUCACCUAACAUGGAAUGGGCAAGCACUCGCAGAAGAAAAAACUGUUAUUGACCUUCCUUAACUGUUGUUCUUUGAGGUGUGUUGCUCA